AAGAAACUUAGGAUGACCCAAACCGAAGGCCUUCAAAGCCUUAAACAAGAGUUAAACCCUCUUAGUUUCUG
This 71-nucleotide transfer RNA is filed under the name Hydrobates castro. RNAcentral describes it as "tRNA-Trp". It matches the Rfam family "tRNA". From Rfam's summary of the family: Transfer RNA (tRNA) molecules are approximately 80 nucleotides in length. Lineage: Eukaryota; Metazoa; Chordata; Aves; Procellariiformes. The record is from RNAcentral.